This 229-nucleotide non-coding RNA is filed under the name Ktedonobacter racemifer. RNAcentral's name for it is "T-box sequence". It matches the Rfam family "T-box leader". From Rfam's summary of the family: Uncharged tRNA acts as the effector for transcription antitermination of genes in the T-box leader family. T-boxes are found upstream of many aminoacyl-tRNA synthetase genes and some amino acid biosynthetic genes usually in Gram-positive bacteria. The record is from RNAcentral. Lineage: Bacteria; Bacillati; Chloroflexota; Ktedonobacteria; Ktedonobacterales; Ktedonobacteraceae.
UACCUGGCUACGAGCAGGAGGAGUAGACGCACCCACCGCCAGAGAGAAGGGAUCGCUGGCUGCAAGUCCCUUUCGGUUGAAGAAGCGUUGAAGGUCGCCUGGGAGUCUGAAAAGCACCCAUUCUGGGGAAUUUUCACGGAUGUGUCCGUUAUCGCACCCAUGAGGAUCAAUCUGUGCAAUUGAUCGAACAAAGGUGGUACCACGAGUCAUGUCCUUUCUCGUCCUUUAC